GAGAGUAGGCGUAGGCGGUUGCAGAACUGUAAUUUUGCCAGUUUUGAGGAAAGUCCGGGCCCCCGAAAGACCAAACUUGCUGGAUAACGUCCAGUGCGAGCAAUCGUGAGGAUAGUGCCACAGAAAGAUACCGCCAUCUUCAGUGAACAGUGAACAGUUAUCAGUAAACAAUAACAACCUGAUAACUGAUAACUGAUAACUGAAAAUGGUAAGGGUGCAAAGGUGCGGUAAGAGCGCACCAGCAGCAUCGAGAGGUGCUGGCUCGGUAAACCCCGGUUGGGAGCAAGGCCAGAGGAACUAUGGUUGGUCUUUUACCAGUUCCGUUCAUGAGAGCCGCUAGAGGCGUUUGGUAACAAGCGUCCCAGAUAGAUAACCGCCAUCAUGUAAAAUUUUUUACAUAGAUAACAGAACCCGGCUUACUACCAACUCUCUCUC
This 435-nucleotide RNase P RNA is filed under the name Nostoc sp. FACHB-110. RNAcentral describes it as "RNase P RNA component class A". It matches the Rfam family "Bacterial RNase P class A". From Rfam's summary of the family: Ribonuclease P (RNase P) is a ubiquitous endoribonuclease, found in archaea, bacteria and eukarya as well as chloroplasts and mitochondria. Its best characterised activity is the generation of mature 5'-ends of tRNAs by cleaving the 5'-leader elements of precursor-tRNAs. Cellular RNase Ps are ribonucleoproteins. Lineage: Bacteria; Bacillati; Cyanobacteriota; Cyanophyceae; Nostocales; Nostocaceae. The record is from RNAcentral.